Cyprinus carpio (common carp) is the source of this 3044-nucleotide RNA transcript. It is a transcript of the gene named gastrula zinc finger protein XlCGF8.2DB-like, with no coding region annotated. NCBI's taxonomy places the organism in Eukaryota, Metazoa, Chordata, Actinopteri, Cypriniformes, Cyprinidae. The record is from RefSeq and is a predicted model, not a curated record. The transcript has 6 exons.
CGGAUUGUAGACGCAGCAGCGCGUGAACAGGACUUUUAGUUUGAUCUUGUUGGCAUGACGUCAUGUAGCUGCGCCGCGCUCCUGCGUCUGUGUUUCAGCUGAAGACAGGACAAAGUAUUCAAACACAGAAAAACUCCUGCUGACGUGACUGAGAUCCACGUGACACACGAUUAUAAAGAUGGAGUUUAUUAAAGAGGAGAGUGAAGACAUGAAAACUAAAGAAACAUUUAGAGACAAACAUGAAGAUACUGAGGAACAAACAGGUAAAUAUGCAUGCGUUACGGACGUGACAAAAAAGGACAGGAGUCUUUGGGAGUCGACAUACUUUGUAGAAAUUCUGCGAAUUCAAAUGCACAAGCCAAAAGACAUAACACCAGCCGAAAGGGUAAGGGUUGUCUCUCCAUGGAACAUAAAUUCAUUAUUUUAUUCAUUUUUGCAUUUGUGAGGAAAAACCAGUGUUAUGGACGUGACCAAUCUGAAAUUGUGACAUGUCUGACAAAUCAGAUAAAAUGCUUUAAAAACGUUAACCAAGAUCUAAUUGUGGGUCUCUGUUGGGUAUUUAAACCAACAAACAUUUCCCUUUGAGACAACUGUAUGGUAAGGUUGCACAAUAAAAUAACAUUUAAACUGAAAUCACCUUGUUAUAGAUUAACUUGUGUUCGCGUGAGUGUGGUUUUAAAAUGUAACCAGGGGUGCGUUUCCCAAAACCAUAGUUGCUAACUAAGUUAGCAACUUUGUUGGUUGCGAUGCAAUUUCCCAUUGCCAACCAACUAAGUUGCUAACAGGUUAGCAACUAUGGUUUUGGGAAAUGCACCCCAGUGCGGAUAGGUUCAAAACUGAAUUCGGACAUGAUUAUUCGCUAAUGUGGUGUUUACUUUAGACCUCGAAUAAUAUAGAAUUGCUAAUAUCCAUCAUCAGCUAUAAUAAAUGUUUACCAAGUUCCAGAGAUCGCCGCAGUAUCCACUCAGAACAAACCUCGGUGAAUUGAAGUAUUGUCCGGUUGUUAGUGUGCACUGUGUCAGCCUGUGUCUGUGUGAAGAAUGGUAUGUAAAAUACAAUCAUGUCACAGUGAUUGCAAUAUUAUGUUUGAUGGCGAUGUUUAUUCUUAGGUUGCGUUGCUUAAUGAGCAAUUGUGAUUCAAAAUAGCUGCAUAAUGUUUGUCAAAAUAAUUGCAAUGUAAGCCAAUGCUUUAGAAUGAUCUACAUGUUAUAUAUCAUCUCUAAAUAUUACUUAAUUAGUAGUUAUGUUUUACCAAGUUUAAUGGCUGGCAUUUGGAUGUUAAGAAGAUUAAGACGCAGCAAACGACAUGUCUGAUGUCCAAAAAAAGGCCAACAUUUGUUACUGACUAGCGUUGAGGAUUUUGUAGCAACAAGAGGGCUGUAAAACAGAUGUCCAAAAAGACUGCCUCUGCAAAGUGAUACCUCCCUCCUCUGUUGUCUACGUUUGGGUUGAAAGUCUCAAUCACUUGGUCAGGUGUCACCCGAGCUUUAUCUUCCAUCACAGCUGUUGACUGAUGCUCAGAGGACUGGUGUUCAGGACUUUCAGCAGAUGUGAUUUCCGAGAGCAGAAAUGUAUGGACACCUGACUGUUCUGCCUCAGAGUAUUUUUUGUGACGCACUUCUCCCCCUGAGACUGGAACAUCUGAGAUAAUGGCCCAUCGCUCAUUUAGCUUAUGAUGCUGUAUAAAAUCUGUGAUUUUGUUGGAUGUAAUGAGUUUGAUGUUGAUGUUUGGGCAACUCUUCCUUGCAGAAGCUACAAAUGAAGCAGCAUCUGCCACAAGGAUUGCCUGUCUGCAGAGGACAUCAGUGUUAACUGCACACUUCACAGUUGCUCCCACACCAUCCACUGCACCUUUGCCAUGGCUUGUGGCAAAGAAGUGCCACUGUACUCUUAUUGUUGGAAACAGCUCCUUGAAUGUAGUUGACAUGAAACACCAGAUGAACUUGUUCUUAAACUGAGAAGCAGCUCCAUCACUAAAUAAGGUCGACAAAAUUAAGUACAUUACCUAGUGUGCCACUUUUUUGGACCUUAUUUGGCAGCCCUUCUGUUGUUUCCCAUGCGUACCAGGUCACCUUAAUUUGUUUAUCUUCUUCUGGGAUGUUACAGAGGGUAUGCAUUUCCAUGAGCUUGCCAUUCCUGCAUUCAGCACACUGUCCUCACAUGCAGAGGGGACUGUCUGGAUUGCAGGCCACAGCUUCAACAAAAUCCUGUGUGCUCUAGAAUGCCUGCCUUGGGAUGACAUGUUUCGUGAUAUCGGCAAAGACACACAUUUCUUGGAGUGUCUGAAGACCGGAGCACAUGAGAUGGUCGAAGCUCAGCAAAUUUAGAUUUUCCAAUUAUAGACUCCGGAUGUUCAUUUUUGAAGUAGCAGUAGGCCUCUAGAAUAGACGUUGUUAAAUGCCGUUUCUGGAUUUUCUUUUUCAUUCCUCCCUCUCUGACUGUGACCACAUCCCUCAAUCCUGGUGCUUGCCUUGAGAUGUCAUCUCUCUCAUAGAAUUCCCUGACAUGAUCAUAUGUAGUAGUGGUGGUGGCCACAUGAUUUAUUUUAUUUUUCUCUGGUAGAAGGCACAGUGAUGUUGCAAUCUUUUUUUAUAAUUGUUUAUUUUUUAGAGGGCUGCUAAGUAAAGCUAGGAGUGCUCUUCUUAGUGCCUUGCCUAGAGACUGUCUUGUUUUAAAUGGUGAAUUCUGUGAUUCCUGGAGUAAAUCAGGAACCUGUGACCUCUUCAGCAAACGCCUUUUUCUCUGUCUUUCUCUAGCAAGCUCCCUGACUCUCUCUGCCUCUUGUUUUGAUUGUUUCUUUCUUUCUUAGUCUUUCUGCUUUUUUCUUUAUUUCUCCUUUUCCUUGAAAUUUUCAUUAUUCCUCCUCCUCUCUCUGCAUUCCCUGGGUCUUUCAGUAUUAGAUUUUGCCAUUGCGCUAUAGGAUGAGUUAUAUAGUAUAAAUACAUUUUGUUGUUGUUUCUUUGUUGGUUAUUAUAUAUCAUUUUAUUGGUUGUAUUAUAUUAAUCACUUUUAUUAAAAUUGAUACUGUGUAAUAAAAAAAAUUG